Molecule: ribosomal RNA, 361 nt
Filed under: uncultured microorganism
Description: bacterial SSU rRNA
Rfam family: Bacterial small subunit ribosomal RNA
Source: RNAcentral
GAGUUUGAUCGUGGCUCAGGAUGAACGCUGGCGGCGUGCCUAAUACAUGCAAGUCGAGCGAACGGACGAGAAGCUUGCUUCUCUGAUGUUAGCGGCGGACGGGUGAGUAACACGUGGAUAACCUACCUAUAAGACUGGGAUAACUUCGGGAAACCGGAGCUAAUACCGGAUAAUAUUUUGAACCGCAUGGUUCAAAAGUGAAAGACGGUCUUGCUGUCACUUAUAGAUGGAUCCGCGCUGCAUUAGCUAGUUGGUAAGGUAACGGCUUACCAAGGCAACGAUGCAUAGCCGACCUGAGAGGGUGAUCGGCCACACUGGAACUGAGACACGGUCCAGACUCCUACGGGAGGCAGCAGUAGGG